UACGUAGGGUGCAAGCGUUGUCCGGAAUUAUUGGGCGUAAAGAGCUCGUAGGCGGUUUGUUGCGUCGGCUGUGAAAUCCCGAGGCUCAACCUCGGGUCUGCAGUCGAUACGAGCAAACUAGAGUGUUGCAGGGGAGACUGGAAUUCCUGGUGUAGCGGUGAAAUGCGCAGAUAUCAGGAGGAACACCAACGGCGAAGGCAGCUCGCUGGGACGGUACUGACACUGAGGCGCGAAAGCGUGGGGAGCGAACAGG
RNAcentral lists this ribosomal RNA (253 nucleotides) under uncultured bacterium. Its description in RNAcentral is "partial 16S ribosomal RNA". It matches the Rfam family "Bacterial small subunit ribosomal RNA", at positions 524 to 776 of the family's 1533-position model. The record is from RNAcentral.